UGCAUUCACUACUGUAAGUCGCUCUGUAUAAGAGCGUCUGCUAAAUGACUAAAA
Non-coding RNA from Salmo salar (Atlantic salmon), 54 nucleotides. Lineage: Eukaryota; Metazoa; Chordata; Actinopteri; Salmoniformes; Salmonidae. The record is from Rfam.